RNAcentral lists this ribosomal RNA (751 nucleotides) under uncultured Comamonadaceae bacterium. Its description in RNAcentral is "bacterial SSU rRNA". It matches the Rfam family "Bacterial small subunit ribosomal RNA", at positions 28 to 776 of the family's 1533-position model. Lineage: Bacteria; Pseudomonadati; Pseudomonadota; Betaproteobacteria; Burkholderiales; Comamonadaceae. The record is from RNAcentral.
AUUGAACGCUGGCGGCAUGCCUUACACAUGCAAGUCGAACGGUAACAGGUCUUCGGAUGCUGACGAGUGGCGAACGGGUGAGUAAUACAUCGGAACGUGCCCGAUCGUGGGGGAUAACGAAGCGAAAGCUUUGCUAAUACCGCAUACGAUCUACGGAUGAAAGCAGGGGACCGCAAGGCCUUGCGCGAACGGAGCGGCCGAUGGCAGAUUAGGUAGUUGGUGGGAUAAAAGCUUACCAAGCCGACGAUCUGUAGCUGGUCUGAGAGGACGACCAGCCACACUGGGACUGAGACACGGCCCAGACUCCUACGGGAGGCAGCAGUGGGGAAUUUUGGACAAUGGGCGAAAGCCUGAUCCAGCCAUGCCGCGUGCAGGAUGAAGGCCUUCGGGUUGUAAACUGCUUUUGUACGGAACGAAAAGACUCUGGUUAAUACCUGGGGUCCAUGACGGUACCGUAAGAAUAAGCACCGGCUAACUACGUGCCAGCAGCCGCGGUAAUACGUAGGGUGCAAGCGUUAAUCGGAAUUACUGGGCGUAAAGCGUGCGCAGGCGGUUAUAUAAGACAGAUGUGAAAUCCCCGGGCUCAACCUGGGAACUGCAUUUGUGACUGUAUAGCUAGAGUACGGCAGAGGGGGGUGGAAUUCCGCGUGUAGCAGUGAAAUGCGUAGAUAUGCGGAGGAACACCGAUGGCGAAGGCAAUUCCCUGGGCCUGUACUGACGCUCAUGCACGAAAGCGUGGGGAGCAAACAGG